RNAcentral lists this ribosomal RNA (661 nucleotides) under unidentified microorganism. RNAcentral describes it as "bacterial SSU rRNA". It matches the Rfam family "Bacterial small subunit ribosomal RNA", at positions 51 to 707 of the family's 1533-position model. The record is from RNAcentral.
ACACAUGCAAGUCGAGCGGUAGAGAGAAGCUUGCUUCUCUUGAGAGCGGCGGACGGGUGAGUAAUGCCUAGGAAUCUGCCUGGUAGUGGGGGAUAACGUUCGGAAACGAACGCUAAUACCGCAUACGUCCUACGGGAGAAAGCAGGGGACCUUCGGGCCUUGCGCUAUCAGAUGAGCCUAGGUCGGAUUAGCUAGUUGGUGAGGUAAUGGCUCACCAAGGCGACGAUCCGUAACUGGUCUGAGAGGAUGAUCAGUCACACUGGAACUGAGACACGGUCCAGACUCCUACGGGAGGCAGCAGUGGGGAAUAUUGGACAAUGGGCGAAAGCCUGAUCCAGCCAUGCCGCGUGUGUGAAGAAGGUCUUCGGAUUGUAAAGCACUUUAAGUUGGGAGGAAGGGCAGUUACCUAAUACGUGAUUGUUUUGACGUUACCGACAGAAUAAGCACCGGCUAACUCUGUGCCAGCAGCCGCGGUAAUACAGAGGGUGCAAGCGUUAAUCGGAAUUACUGGGCGUAAAGCGCGCGUAGGUGGUUUGUUAAGUUGGAUGUGAAAUCCCCGGGCUCAACCUGGGAACUGCAUUCAAAACUGACUGACUAGAGUAUGGUAGAGGGUGGUGGAAUUUCCUGUGUAGCGGUGAAAUGCGUAGAUAUAGGAAGGAAC